AGUAAAUAGAUACCCAGGUAGUCCACGCCGUAAACGAUGUCGACUUGGAGGUUGUGCCCUUGAGGCGUGGCUUCCGGAGCUAAACGCGUUAAGUCGACCGCCUGGGGAGUACGGCCGCAAGGUUAAAACUCAAAUGAAUUGACGGGGGCCCGCACAAGCGGUGGAGCAUGUGGUUUAAUUCGAUGCAACGCGAAGAACCUUACCUACUCUUGACAUCCAGAGAACUUAGCAGAGAUGCUUUGGUGCCUUCGGGAACUCUGAGACGGGUGCUGCAUGGCUGUCGUCAGCUCGUGUUGUGAAAUGUUGGGUUAAGUCCCGCAACGAGCGCAACCCUUAUCCUUUGUUGCCAGCGGUCCGGCCGGGAACUCAAAGGAGACUGCCAGUGAUAAACUGGAGGAAGGUGGGGAUGACGUCAAGUCAUCAUGGCCCUUACGAGUAGGGCUACACACGUGCUACAAUGGCGCAUACAAAGAGGAGCGACCUCGCGAGAGCAAGCGGACCUCAUAAAGUGCGUCGUAGUCCGG
RNAcentral lists this ribosomal RNA (524 nucleotides) under uncultured bacterium. RNAcentral's name for it is "bacterial SSU rRNA". It matches the Rfam family "Bacterial small subunit ribosomal RNA", at positions 774 to 1296 of the family's 1533-position model. The record is from RNAcentral.